AGCUAUUCACUUAUGAAGUUAUAUAUUUUGAAAAUAUAAAAAAAUGGUUAAAUUCCAUUAAUAGCUU
This 67-nucleotide transfer RNA is filed under the name unidentified. Its description in RNAcentral is "Bochrus foveatus tRNA-Ser". The record is from RNAcentral.